This 267-nucleotide ribosomal RNA is filed under the name uncultured bacterium. Its description in RNAcentral is "partial 16S ribosomal RNA". It matches the Rfam family "Bacterial small subunit ribosomal RNA", at positions 793 to 1055 of the family's 1533-position model. The record is from RNAcentral.
GUCCACGCAGUAAACUGUGAACACUAGGUGUAGCGGGUAUUGACCCCUGCUGUGCCGAAGCUAACGCAUUAAGUGUUCCGCCUGGGAAGUACGGUCGCAAGGCUAAAACUCAAAGGAAUUGACGGGGGCCCGCACAAGCGGUGGAGCAUGUGGUUUAAUUCGACGCCAACGCGAAGAACCUUACCUGGGUUUGACAUCCCGGGAAUCCCCUGGAAACAGGGGAGUGCCCUUCGGGGAGCCCGGAGACAGGUGCUGCAUGGCUGUCGU